CCGAUGUGACGGAGCGACCAACCUGGUGUGACGGAGCGAGCCAACCCGAUGUGACGGAGCGACCAACCCGCGAGCCAACCCGAUACGGAGCAACCAACCUGGUGUGAUGGAGCGAGCCAUCCCGAUGUGACGGAGCGACCAACCUGGUGUGACGGAGCGAGCCAACCCGAUGUGACGGAGCGACCAACCUGGUGUGACGGAGCGAGCCAACCCGAUACGGAGCAACCAACCUGGUGUGAUGGAGCGAGCCAUCCCGAUGUGACGGAGCGACCAACCUGGUGUGACGGAGCGAGCCAUCCCGAUGUGACGGAGCGACCAACCUGGUGUGACGGAGCGAGCCAUCCCGAUGUGACGGAGCGACCAACCUGGUGUGACGGAGCGAGCCAACCCGGUGUGACGGAGCGAGCCAACCCGAUACGGAGCGACCAACCCGGUGUGACGGAGCGAGCCAACCCGAUACGGAGCGACCAACCUGGUGUGACGGAGCGACCAACCCGAUACGGAGCGACCAACCCGAUACGGAGCGACCAACCCGAUACGGAGCGAGCCAACCCGAUACGGAGCGACCAACCCGAUACGGAGCGACCAACCCGAUACGGAGCAACCAACCCGGUGUGACGGAGCGACCAACCCGAUACGGAGCGACCAACCCGGUGUGACGGAGCGACCAACCCGAUGUGACGGAGCGACCAACCUGGUGUGACGGAGCGAGCCAACCCGGUGUGACGGAGCGACCAACCCGAUACGGAUAAAAAAAAUAGUGAGGAGGCCACAGCAGUUAGUUCAUCCCCAGUGACAGGACACCCAGAGGCAUCAUCUCCUCCUGUCAAGAAGUCAGCUAUGAACUGAACUGUUUGGUGAACUCUUCAAGACUCAGGGGGGAAACAAGCCUACUUUGCAGAUGGUGAAGAAAGAGGUUACCUUAUACAAGGCUGUGGACUGCAUUUCACUGGAUUCCAACCCACUUGAAUGGUGGAGGACCGAUAAGCCCACAUAUCCUCAUAUUGCCAAGUUAGCAAAGCACUACCUUGCUGUAUUUGCUACCUCAGUCCCUAGCGAGAGAGUGUUUUCUACAGCUGGAGACAUUGUAACUGCCAGCAGAUCUGCCCUUUCCGUAGACAAGUUAAUUUUUUUGACAAAAAACAUGAAAGUUGAAUGAAUCUGAGCAGGCCUUCAGCCUGGAGCUGUUAAUGCUGCACUUUAGACUGUUGUAUAGUUCUUAAAAAUCUGAGCAGGUCUAAAAACUGAAACUGUUGAUACUGCACUUUACACUUUGGAAAAGUUAUACAUAUUUUUUUAAUAUGAGCAGGCCUACAAGCUGGGGUUGGUAAUGCUGCACUGUUAUCCAUAGUUAUUUAUUUAUUUAUAUUUAUUUAUAUUUUUCAUUAUAUUUUAUUAUGUGAUAUUGGUUUGAGACUGAGUAUUUUAUUUAGUGGAGAACUGUGCAGCAGUAUUUUAUUUCUUAUUCUUUUUUAUUUUAUAUAUAUUUUAUGCAUUAUAUUUUAUUAAAAACUGUUUAAAAAAGUGUAAACAAAUUGUUAAAAAAAAGUUUAUAGUAAUAAACAACCUGCAGUUUAAUGUUUGCAUUUCUUUCCCUUACUGUACCGAAAAUGAACCGAACCGUGACUUUAAAACCGAGGUACGUACCGAACCGUGAUUUUUGCGUACCGUUACACCCCUACCCACAAAUUACAGCCACUGGAUCGUACCGUUUAUGGCCCCCUAAAACUUCAUGUCAACACAUUUUGCGAUACCUGGAUGAGAAGUCACCCAGGCCUGACAAUAUCCAUCUACGACAUUCCUGGAAUUGUUAGGUUGGCCCUCCCAUUGGCUGGAACACCAGGCAAUGUGCAUAAUGGCUUUAGCAGCACUGGAAGUUGGCCAUAUAACCGUGAUAAAUUGAAAGACAGUGACUUUGCACCAUCUUUGAUGACAGACCGGCUGCCAACACCAGUUCUUCCAGAGCAAGCUGGGACAUCUGCUUCUUUGGAAGUUUCUCCAGUGCACACUGGGACUUCUGCAGUUCCUCCAGUGCAGACUGUUAGACCUCAUCCAAGAGCAGAACCACGGAAGAUAACAAAAGCAAACGGUAGGAAAAAAUGCAAAUCGGCCAUCUUGACAGACACCCCCAAAAAGGAGGCUUUGGAGAGGGAGAAAGCAAAAGUUAAGAGAAAGCCAACAAAAGUUAAGAGAAAACUGACAAAGAACACACUGGAAACAAGCCAACAAACCAAAAACGAGAAGAAAAAGCAUGCAGAGAAGGACAAUGACUCUGAAAAAGAUUUUUGCAUUGUCUGUUUGGAGAGCUACUCCAGACCGAGAGAGGUGUGGCUGCAAUGUUGGCAGUGCAAGGCAUGGGCUCAUGAAGCCUGCACUGAUGGUGGUUCCAUUUACAUUGGCCACAAUUGGGAGUCAGAUGGGGAAUUGUGAUUACUGAAGCUAUGAAAUAAUCAGUUUGUGUGCUUUUGGUGGUGUUAUGAAAUUGUUAGCCUACUGCUUGUUGCUGCAGUUGUAAACUUUUAUAUUUUGCCUUUUAAAUAUUGUUAUUAAGUCAAUGAACUCUGGUCUAAGAUAAAUAAUAGAUGUGACAAAUGAGUGAUCCCAUGAUUCUUUAAGUGAUUUUAAAUUUUAAAUAAUCCCUUAGGGCCUAUAGAAAUCAGUUUGUGGGCUUUUGACAAAGGUAUUACAUGGUUGUGCA
This is a long non-coding RNA of Perca fluviatilis (European perch), 2698 nucleotides long. RefSeq lists it as uncharacterized. The record is from RefSeq and is a predicted model, not a curated record. The transcript is spliced from 3 exons. Lineage: Eukaryota; Metazoa; Chordata; Actinopteri; Perciformes; Percidae.